Molecule: ribosomal RNA, 466 nt
Filed under: uncultured Anaerolineaceae bacterium
Lineage: Bacteria; Bacillati; Chloroflexota; Anaerolineae; Anaerolineales; Anaerolineaceae
Description: bacterial SSU rRNA
Rfam family: Bacterial small subunit ribosomal RNA
Source: RNAcentral
CUCAAAGGAAUUGACGGGACCCGCACAAGCAGCGGAGCGUGUGGUUUAAUUCGUUGCUACACGAAGAACCUUACCUGGGUUUGACAUAUAGGUUGUAGGGAACUGAAAGGGACCGACCCUUCGGGGAGCCUAUACAGGUGUUGCAUGGCUGUCGUCAGCUCGUGUCGUGAGAUGUUCGGUUAAGUCCGCUAACGAGCGCAACCCUCGUCGUAUGUUAUAUGUGUCAUACGAGACUGCCGGUAAAAGCCGGAGGAAGGUGAGGAUGAUGUCAAGUCAGCAUGACCUUUAUAUCCAGGGCUACACACACGCUACAAUGGUCUGUACAAUGGGUAGCCAAGCCGCGAGGCGGAGCCAAUCCUGAAAGCAGGCCUCAGUUCAGAUUGCAGUCUGCAACUCGACUGCAUGAAGCCGGAGUUGCUAGUAACCGCAGGUCAGCAAUACUGCGGUGAAUACGUUCCCGGGUCUU